GAUGAACGCUGGCGGCGUGCCUAAUACAUGCCAGUCGAGCGAACGGACGAGAAGCUUGCUUCUCUGAUGUUAGCGGCGGACGGGUGAGUAACACGUGGAUAACCUACCUAUAAGACUGGGAUAACUUCGGGAAACCGGAGCUAAUACCGGAUAAUAUUUUGAACCGCAUGGUUCAAAAGUGAAAGACGGUCUUGCUGUCACUUAUAGAUGGAUCCGCGCUGCAUUAGCUAGUUGGUAAGGUAACGGCGUACCAAGGCAACGAUGCAUAGCCGACCUGAGAGGGUGAUCGGCCACACUGGAACUGAGACGCGGUCAAGACUCCUAAGGGAGGCAGCAGUAGGGAAUCUUCCGCAAUGGGCGAAAGCCUGACGGAGCAACGCCGCGUGAGUGAUGAAGGUCUUCGGAUCGUAAAACUCUGUUAUGAGGGAAGAACAUAUGUGUAAGUAACUGUGCACAUCUUGACGGUACCUAAUCAGAAAGCCACGGCUAACUACGUG
RNAcentral lists this ribosomal RNA (497 nucleotides) under uncultured bacterium. Its description in RNAcentral is "partial 16S ribosomal RNA". It matches the Rfam family "Bacterial small subunit ribosomal RNA", at positions 28 to 507 of the family's 1533-position model. The record is from RNAcentral.